GACGAACGCUGGCGGCGUGCCUAAUACAUGCAAGUCGAGCGAAGUUUUUCUGGUGCUUGCACUAGAAAAACUUAGCGGCGAACGGGUGAGUAACACGUAAAGAACCUGCCUCAUAGACUGGGACAACUAUUGGAAACGAUAGCUAAUACCGGAUAACAGUAUUUCUCGCAUGAGAGAUAUUUAAAAGUUGGUUAUGCUAACACUAUGAGAUGGCUUUGCGGUGCAUUAGCUAGUUGGUGGGGUAAAGGCCCACCAAGGCGACGAUGCAUAGCCGACCUGAGAGCGUGAUCGGCCACACUGGGACUGAGACACGGCCCAGACUCCUACGGGAGGCAGCAGUAGGGAAUCUUCCGCAAUGGGCGAAAGCCUGACGGAGCAACGCCGCGUGAGUGAAGAAGGAUUUCGGUUCGUAAAGCUCUGUUGUUAGGGAAGAAUGGAUAUGUAGUAACUAUACAUGUAAGAGACGGUACCUAACCAGAAAGCCACGGCUAACUACGUG
This 499-nucleotide ribosomal RNA is filed under the name uncultured bacterium. RNAcentral describes it as "partial 16S ribosomal RNA". It matches the Rfam family "Bacterial small subunit ribosomal RNA", at positions 28 to 507 of the family's 1533-position model. The record is from RNAcentral.